AACGAACGCUGGCGGCAGGCUUAACACAUGCAAGUCGAACGCCCCGCAAGGGGAGUGGCAGACGGGUGAGUAACGCGUGGGGACGUACCUUUCAGUUCGGAAUCACUCAGGGAAACUUGUGCUAAUACCGGAUACGCCCGUAAGGGGAAAGAUUUAUCGCUGAAAGAUCGGCCCGCGUUGGAUUAGCUAGUUGGUGGGGUAAUGGCCUACCAAGGCGACGAUCCAUAGCUGGUCUGAGAGGAUGAUCAGCCACACUGGGACUGAGACACGGCCCAGACUCCUACGGGAGGCAGCAGUGGGGAAUAUUGGACAAUGGGCGAAAGCCUGAUCCAGCCAUGCCGCGUGAGUGAUGAAGGCCCUAGGGUUGUAAAGCUCUUUCACCGAUGAAGAUAAUGACGGUAGUCGGAGAAGAAGCCCCGGCUAACUUCGUGCCAGCCGCCGCCGUAA
RNAcentral lists this ribosomal RNA (447 nucleotides) under uncultured bacterium. RNAcentral describes it as "partial 16S ribosomal RNA". It matches the Rfam family "Bacterial small subunit ribosomal RNA", at positions 29 to 523 of the family's 1533-position model. The record is from RNAcentral.